UUUCCGUAGGUGAACCUGCGGAAGGAUCAUUAUUGAAAAAGACAAGACGCCCCGUUUUUUCGUAAAAUGGGUUCAAUACCCACAACCGUGAAUACCUUACCUUUUGUUGCUUUGGCAGGCCGCCUCCGGGCGUUGGCUUCGGCUGACAGCGCCUGCCAGAGGACCCAAACUCUGUGUUUAGUGAUGUCUGAGUAAUAUAUAAUAUUUUAAAACUUUCAACAACGGAUCUCUUGGUUCUG
This 239-nucleotide unclassified non-coding RNA is filed under the name plant metagenome. Its description in RNAcentral is "partial contains small subunit ribosomal RNA, internal transcribed spacer 1, and 5.8S ribosomal RNA". The record is from RNAcentral.